Molecule: ribosomal RNA, 682 nt
Filed under: uncultured Pseudomonadota bacterium
Lineage: Bacteria; Pseudomonadati; Pseudomonadota
Description: bacterial SSU rRNA
Rfam family: Bacterial small subunit ribosomal RNA
Source: RNAcentral
GUAACAGGAAACAGCUUGCUGUUUCGCUGACGAGUGGCGGACGGGUGAGUAAUGUCUGGGAAACUGCCUGAUGGAGGGGGAUAACUACUGGAAACGGUAGCUAAUACCGCAUAACGUCGCAAGACCAAAGAGGGGGACCUUCGGGCCUCUUGCCAUCAGAUGUGCCCAGAUGGGAUUAGCUAGUAGGUGGGGUAACGGCUCACCUAGGCGACGAUCCCUAGCUGGUCUGAGAGGAUGACCAGCCACACUGGAACUGAGACACGGUCCAGACUCCUACGGGAGGCAGCAGUGGGGAAUAUUGCACAAUGGGCGCAAGCCUGAUGCAGCCAUGCCGCGUGUAUGAAGAAGGCCUUCGGGUUGUAAAGUACUUUCAGCGGGGAGGAAGGGAGUAAAGUUAAUACCUUUGCUCAUUGACGUUACCCGCAGAAGAAGCACCGGCUAACUCCGUGCCAGCAGCCGCGGUAAUACGGAGGGUGCAAGCGUUAAUCGGAAUUACUGGGCGUAAAGCGCACGCAGGCGGUUUGUUAAGUCAGAUGUGAAAUCCCCGGGCUCAACCUGGGAACUGCAUCUGAUACUGGCAAGCUUGAGUCUCGUAGAGGGGGGUAGAAUUCCAGGUGUAGCGGUGAAAUGCGUAGAGAUCUGGAGGAAUACCGGUGGCGAAGGCGGCCCCCUGGACGAAGAC